GACGAACGCUGGCGGCGUGCCUAACACAUGCAAGUCGAGCGAAUGAAGUUCCUUCGGGAAUGGAUUUAGCGGCGGACGGGUGAGUAACACGUGGGCAACCUGCCUCAUAGAGGGGAAUAGCCUCCCGAAAGGGAGAUUAAUACCGCAUAAGAUUGUAGUACCGCAUGAUACAGCAAUUAAAGGAGCAAUCCGCUAUGAGAUGGGCCCGCGGCGCAUUAGCUAGUUGGUGAGGUAAUGGCUCACUAAGGCGACGAUGCGUAGCCGACCUGAGAGGGUGAUCGGCCACAUUGGGACUGAGACACGGCCCAGACUCCUACGGGAGGCAGCAGUGGGGAAUAUUGCACAAUGGGGGAAACCCUGAUGCAGCAACGCCGCGUGAGUGAUGACGGCCUUCGGGUUGUAAAGCUCUGUCUUCAGGGACGAUAAUGACGGUACCUGAGGAGGAAGCCACGGCUAACUACGUG
This 464-nucleotide ribosomal RNA is filed under the name uncultured bacterium. RNAcentral's name for it is "partial 16S ribosomal RNA". It matches the Rfam family "Bacterial small subunit ribosomal RNA", at positions 28 to 507 of the family's 1533-position model. The record is from RNAcentral.